ACUGAAGCUUGUCCACACCGAAGGAGUGGGCAGCUCUUCAACAACUUUUACUGUUGGUUGGCUAAUUGCUGAGUGAAGCCAGCUGUGCAAUGGCUACUCCGGGGGGAAAUGGAUGGCGGUGUUCUGAAAAGUCAGGGGACUCGGAAGGUGGAGAAAGGCCCAUGUCAUUUUUAGCAAAAACCCUGAAGUGAUACUGCCGUCCAGGUUGGCUGCAUUUCACGCUCCAUGUUCCAGGUUUCCACGUCCAGGUCUCAUUUUCCGUAUUCCCUGUGUUUAGCUUUAGUUCACUCAGUUUAGUUUGUUAGUUAAGUCUUCGUUAAGUUUUCAUUUGACUUCUAUUUGUAUUUUCAUUCAGCCUAAAUAAAAGGCUCCCCUUUUGUUUGCACCCACUCAUGUUUUCAAGUGUCUGCGUUUGGGUUCUUGUCCUCUCGCCACACAGUCUGUAGCUGCAGGCCCAUGACACCAUAUUACUACAAGUUUACCUCAAUCUAAAAAUAAAUGCAUAUUGUACACUUAGAGUUACAGCAGCUGUUUUAAUUGUUGAUGAAUAUACAAAAAAGAAUUUCUUGACUUUAAAAAUGUUUAGCUUGAAAAAUUAAUGUUAGCAAAUUAAUAUUAGCCCAAUCCUUUCAACC
Molecule: long non-coding RNA, 635 nt
Organism: Oreochromis niloticus (Nile tilapia)
Lineage: Eukaryota; Metazoa; Chordata; Actinopteri; Cichliformes; Cichlidae
Exons: 3
Source: RefSeq, a predicted model, not a curated record